This is a long non-coding RNA of Lycium barbarum (goji berry), 522 nucleotides long. RefSeq lists it as uncharacterized. Lineage: Eukaryota; Viridiplantae; Streptophyta; Magnoliopsida; Solanales; Solanaceae. The record is from RefSeq and is a predicted model, not a curated record. The transcript is spliced from 4 exons.
CGGUUUAGGGUUUGGAUCUGUGAAAGUUAGGGUUUUUACGAUGGAGAGAGUAACCGGAAACCUAAUGAAGCGGUGGAGAAGAAGAUGAAGAGAGAUUUGAAACGUGGGAUUUCUUGUUCAUGAGGAAAUAAAAAGUUGUUUUGGAAGAAAGAGCACUUAUUUCCUCAAGUUGACUACUUUGUCAAGUGAAGAAGAUUGGAUAGAAAGAUUUUUGACGAAACGGGAAGUGAGCUUGGAAAGGCGUAAAGAGCUUAAAAGGUACUGACGACAGGUUUGCUGAUCCGCCCGCUUAGGACCUUAUUCUGCUAUUUUGGAGCGCUCUUUUAUCCAGAGCCUAUAUUUUGGUACAGUCUUCUACUAUUGUACAUAUGUAUAUCAUUCAGGGGUACGACGGGGCCCUGUCCCGUCUUAUGAUUCUGUUAUGUUCUGUAGAGGUCUGUAGACAUGCAUGUGGGUUCUGUAUAUGUUUUUGGGUUGUUAUGAUCUGUGAUGGCCUUAUCGGCUUCCACGUGCUAUAUUUGU